GCAGCAGCAACAGCAGCCUCCGCCGCCGCCACCGCCGCCUCCGCCGCUGCCUCAGGAGCGGAACAACGUCGGCGAGCGGGAUGAUGAUGUGCCUGCAGAUAUGGUUGCAGAAGAAUCAGGUCCUGGUGCACAAAAUAGUCCAUACCAACUUCGUAGAAAAACUCUUUUGCCGAAAAGAACAGCGUGUCCCACAAAGAACAGUAUGGAGGGCGCCUCAACUUCAACUACAGAAAACUUUGGUCAUCGUGCAAAACGUGCAAGAGUGUCUGGAAAAUCACAAGAUCUAUCAGCAGCACCUGCUGAACAGUAUCUUCAGGAGAAACUGCCAGAUGAAGUGGUUCUAAAAAUCUUCUCUUACUUGCUGGAACAGGAUCUUUGUAGAGCAGCUUGUGUAUGUAAACGCUUCAGUGAACUUGCUAAUGAUCCAAUUUUGUGGAAACGAUUAUAUAUGGAAGUAUUUGAAUAUACUCGCCCUAUGAUGCAUCCUGAACCUGGUAAAUUCUACCAGAUUAAUCCAGAAGAGUAUGAACAUCCAAACCCCUGGAAAGAGAGUUUCCAGCAGUUGUAUAAAGGUGCCCAUGUAAAGCCAGGAUUUGCUGAACAUUUCUACAGUAACCCUGCAAGAUAUAAAGGAAGAGAAAAUAUGUUGGUAUGUUUGAUUUUUAUUUUUAUGACUUAAAAUGGUAAUCUUUCAGUUCUGUACUGACACAUUUUUUUUUUCUAGUAUUAUGAUACUAUUGAAGAUGCCCUUGGUGGGGUACAAGAGGCUCAUUUUGAUGGACUUAUCUUUGUUCAUUCUGGAAUAUAUACUGAUGAAUGGAUAUAUAUUGAAUCUCCAAUCACCAUGAUUGGUGCAGCACCUGGGAAAGUGGCAGACAAAGUUAUAAUUGAAAACACUAGAGAUUCAACCUUCGUUUUUAUGGAAGGCUCUGAAGAUGCUUAUGUUGGAUAUAUGACAAUAAGGUUUAACCCUGAUGACAAAUCUGCACAACACCACAAUGCACACCACUGCUUAGAGAUUACAGUAAAUUGUAGCCCUAUUAUUGAUCACUGUAUCAUCCGAAGUACAUGUACAGUUGGUUCUGCAGUAUGUGUUAGUGGUCAAGGAGCAUGUCCCACCAUCAAGCACUGUAACAUCAGCGACUGUGAAAAUGUUGGACUAUAUAUAACAGAUCAUGCACAGGGAAUAUAUGAGGAUAAUGAAAUUUCCAAUAAUGCGUUAGCUGGGAUUUGGGUUAAAAAUCAUGGAAACCCAAUAAUUAGACGGAAUCAUAUUCAUCAUGGACGUGAUGUUGGUGUGUUCACAUUUGAUCAUGGCAUGGGUUACUUUGAAAGUUGCAACAUACACAGAAAUAGGAUAGCAGGCUUUGAAGUAAAAGCCUAUGCUAACCCCACAGUGGUUCGAUGUGAAAUUCACCAUGGGCAGACUGGAGGAAUAUAUGUCCAUGAAAAAGGAAGAGGACAAUUCAUAGAGAAUAAAAUCUAUGCAAACAACUUUGCAGGUGUAUGGAUUACCUCAAAUAGUGACCCAACAAUAAGGGGAAAUUCUAUAUUUAAUGGAAAUCAAGGAGGAGUUUACAUCUUUGGUGAUGGACGAGGCCUUAUUGAAGGAAAUGACAUUUAUGGCAAUGCAUUAGCAGGAAUUCAGAUUAGGACAAACAGUUGUCCAAUUGUUCGGCAUAACAAAAUUCAUGAUGGCCAGCAUGGUGGGAUUUAUGUGCAUGAAAAGGGACAAGGAGUAAUAGAAGAGAAUGAAGUUUAUAGUAACACUCUAGCUGGAGUCUGGGUGACAACUGGCAGCACUCCAGUACUGAGAAGAAACCGGAUACACAGUGGCAAGCAGGUUGGUGUUUAUUUUUAUGACAAUGGACAUGGAGUGCUAGAAGACAAUGAUAUCUAUAAUCAUAUGUAUUCAGGGGUUCAGAUAAGGUAAAUGUUUUCACAUUUGGCUUUCUUUUGGGAGGGAGUUAGGAGUAUGUGGGGUGUGUAGAAGAAAUUUGCUUAUUGUUUAAUGCCCAAUCUUUAUCCCCCUAUUGUAUAUAUAUUCACAUUCUUAAAAUAAUCUUGACUUAAAUUGUUAGAAUGUAGCUUUCCUUGGUCUAGGUGAGGACAGAAGCCAGUGGCACAUGUGCCAUAAGAGGUCACUUCCACCGUUCUGCUUUCCACUAUGAGAGUCACAUCAGCUGCCAAUAUGAUCCUUCUUACUUGGAGAGUGGAAGUCUGUAUUAAAGUACUUGUGCAUUAUGACUGGCAUAUCAUUGGCACUCAAUAAAAUGAAGCUUCUGUUUUAU
Molecule: small RNA, 2291 nt
Filed under: Pongo abelii (Sumatran orangutan)
Lineage: Eukaryota; Metazoa; Chordata; Mammalia; Primates; Hominidae
Description: retained intron
Source: RNAcentral